ACGGUCCUAAGGUAGCGAAAUUCCUUGUCAGGUAAGUUCUGACCCGCACGAAUGGUGUAACGAUUUGGGCACUGUCUCAACAACCCGCCCGGCGAAAUUGUAGUACCGGUGAAGAUGCCGGUUACCCGCGACUAGACGGAAAGACCCCAUGGAGCUUCACUGUAGCUUAAUAUUGGAUUUUGGUAUUUCAUGUACAGGAUAGGUGGGAGACUGAGAAGCAAAGGCGUCAGCUUUUGUGGAGUCGCUGUUGGGAUACCACUCUUGAAGUGCUGAAAUUCUAACCUGCGCCCUUGAAUCAGGGCGGGGGACAUUGUUAGGUGGGCAGUUUGACUGGGGCGGUCGCCUCCAAAAAGGUAACGGAGGCGCUCAAAGGUUCGCUCAGCAUGGAUGGAAACCAUGCCAGAGAGUGUAAACGCAAAAGCGAGCCUAACUGCGAGACUGACGGGUCGAGCAGUAACGAAAGUUGGAGUUAGUGAUCCGGCGGUAUGUGAGUGGAAAUGCCGUCGCUCAACGGAUAAAAGCUACCCUGGGGAUAACAGGCUGAUCUCCCCCAAGAGUCCACAUCGACGGGGAGGUUUGGCACCUCGAUGUCGGCUCAUCGCAUCCUGGGGCUGAAUUCGGUCCCAAGGGUUUGGCUGUUCGCCAAUUAAAGCGGUACGCGAGCUGGGUUCAGAACGUCGUGAGACAGUUCGGUCCCUAUCUGUCGUGGGCGAAGGAUAUUUGAAAGGAGCUGUCCCUAGUACGAGAGGACCGGGAUGGACGCACCUCUGGUGUACCAGUUGUCACGCCAGUGGCACAGCUGGGCAGCUAAGUGCGGAACGGAUAAACGCUGAAGGCAUCUAAGCGUGAAGCCGGCCUUAAGAUAAGAUAUCCCAUUACGUAAGUAAGUAAGACCCCUCAAAGACUAUGAGGUUGAUAGGUCUGAGGUGUAAGCAUGGCGACAUGUUAAGCCAGCGGAUACUAAUAGGUCGAGGGCUUUUCCUU
This 984-nucleotide ribosomal RNA is filed under the name human gut metagenome. RNAcentral's name for it is "bacterial LSU rRNA". It matches the Rfam family "Bacterial large subunit ribosomal RNA", at positions 1945 to 2925 of the family's 2925-position model. The record is from RNAcentral.